CUUCUUCAAGAAGCCAUCGACUAGCUUCGGCUGCACGACAAGAAUUCCAAUAUUUUUCUUCGCAUGGCGCAAGACAUGGAAGAUGAAGACCAUGAGCUCGAGGUUGCGACGUACCAACAUCGUAGGCGUCGUGCACUUAACGAGCGUCGGUAUGCUGGUUCCAUUCCUGGUCGUGUUCGAAUCCAUCGUGACCAUAUCAGUGGUGAUGCAAGAAUCCGAGCCGACUACUUUUGCGCGCAACCGGUGUACACGGAUGCACAAUUUCGGAGGAGGUUUCGCAUGCGUCGCCAUGUGUUCGAGCGCCUCGUUG
This is a long non-coding RNA of Zea mays, 310 nucleotides long. RefSeq lists it as uncharacterized. The transcript is spliced from 3 exons. Lineage: Eukaryota; Viridiplantae; Streptophyta; Magnoliopsida; Poales; Poaceae. The record is from RefSeq and is a predicted model, not a curated record.